GACGAACGCUGGCGGCGUGCUUAACACAUGCAAGUCGAACGGUGAACGAGGGAGCUUGCUCCCUCCGGAUCAGUGGCGAACGGGUGAGUAACACGUGAGCAAUCUGCCCCGAACUCUGGGAUAAGCGUUGGAAACGACGUCUAAUACCGGAUACGACGCGGGAGGGCAUCCUCUCCGCGUGGAAAGAACUUCGGUUCGGGAUGAGCUCGCGGCCUAUCAGCUUGUUGGUGUGGUAACGGCUCACCAAGGCGACGACGGGUAGCCGGCCUGAGAGGGUGACCGGCCACACUGGGACUGAGACACGGCCCAGACUCCUACGGGAGGCAGCAGUGGGGAAUAUUGCACAAUGGGCGCAAGCCUGAUGCAGCAACGCCGCGUGAGGGACGACGGCCUUCGGGUUGUAAACCUCUUUUAGCAGGGAAGAAGCGAAAGUGACGGUACCUGCAGAAAAAGCACCGGCUAACUACGUG
This 470-nucleotide ribosomal RNA is filed under the name uncultured bacterium. RNAcentral describes it as "partial 16S ribosomal RNA". It matches the Rfam family "Bacterial small subunit ribosomal RNA", at positions 28 to 507 of the family's 1533-position model. The record is from RNAcentral.